Onychostoma macrolepis is the source of this 488-nucleotide long non-coding RNA. RefSeq lists it as uncharacterized. The record is from RefSeq and is a predicted model, not a curated record. NCBI's taxonomy places the organism in Eukaryota, Metazoa, Chordata, Actinopteri, Cypriniformes, Cyprinidae. The transcript is spliced from 3 exons.
AUAUGGGCCAAACAAUAAUCGACUCAAAGGAAUGUGAGUCUUUAAAGAUAAUGACUGCUGAGUAUGUAAAUGAAUGUGGCCUGAAUUGAAGGAUUGGUGAGGAGCAGUACUACAAAACAAUGGGCGAUGGCUGGUUUCAGCUCACUGGCAGUCCUCUCGAUCUAACAAAUCUCCUGCAGGGUCUGCGGACAGAGCACAAGAACAAAUUGUGGCGGGGCUAUGGAGACAAAUAAGAAAUGGCAAGAUUAGCACAUUUAUAGUGAGUGAAUCCAAUCAUUGUGAUGGCUGGUGAUGCGAGUGAGCCACUCCCCAUGGGCAGCACACUGGCACUCUGAGUCACUGCAACAAUGCACAUUUGCAUUCUCGCUUCUCUCUUUGCUUUGCCAGCACUUUAUAAAAUUCACUCACACAUCAGAGGGCUCAAGAUUUGUUUAAUCUUGUUGAUCUUGCUUUCCACAGAGCAAAAUUCAGCUGGAAUGCAAUUUUAU